AAUAAAUUGAUUCGUGGGUUGCCAUGUCUAACUUUAGAACGUCCAUCUUAUAUGAACUUAUUUAUGAUUAAUAUUUUUAUUUUUAUUAUAUGAUAAAACAUGAAUAAUAUUUUAUAUGUGACUUAUUUUUUAAAUUUUUUUUAUAAUUUUUUCAAAUAAAAUGAACUAUGUACAUGAAAACCUACGAAUCAACUUAUU
Molecule: microRNA precursor, 198 nt
Filed under: Oryza rufipogon (brownbeard rice)
Lineage: Eukaryota; Viridiplantae; Streptophyta; Magnoliopsida; Poales; Poaceae
Description: MIR812 microRNA precursor family
Rfam family: MIR812 microRNA precursor family
Source: Rfam by way of RNAcentral